UACGUAGGGGGCAAGCGUUGUCCGGAUUUAUUGGGCGUAAAGAGCGUGUAGGUGGCCAUGUAGGUCCGUUGUGAAAACUCGAGGCUCAACCUCGAGACGCCGGCGGAAACCAUCAGGCUAGAGUCCGGAAGAGGAGAGUGGAAUUCCUGGUGUAGCGGUGAAAUGCGCAGAUAUCAGGAAGAACACCCGUGGCUAAGGCGGCUCUCUAGUACGGUACUGACGCUGAGACGCGAAAGCGUGGGGAGCGAACAGG
Molecule: ribosomal RNA, 253 nt
Filed under: uncultured bacterium
Lineage: Bacteria
Description: partial 16S ribosomal RNA
Rfam family: Bacterial small subunit ribosomal RNA
Source: RNAcentral